Molecule: unclassified non-coding RNA, 234 nt
Filed under: uncultured fungus
Lineage: Eukaryota; Fungi
Description: sequence contains ITS1
Source: RNAcentral
AGUUUAAAGAUGUGUUACAUCGGAUUACAUUCAGAUUUAAUUUUAUUAGAUUUUAUGUAUUGACAGACGGAGCUCGCACCCCCAAUAAAGAGGGAACUACUAUCCGUCUCACAGGUUCACAGGUGUGUGUGGAUGAAUGGAGAAGGCGUGCACAUGCCCCCAGUAAAGUGGGCCAGCGACAACGAUCCCCAUGUUCAUUCAAUAAUGAUCCUUCCGCAGGUUCACCUACGGAAA